This 390-nucleotide ribosomal RNA is filed under the name uncultured bacterium. Its description in RNAcentral is "bacterial SSU rRNA". It matches the Rfam family "Bacterial small subunit ribosomal RNA", at positions 29 to 446 of the family's 1533-position model. The record is from RNAcentral.
AGCGAACGCUGGCGGCAGGCUUAACACAUGCAAGUCGAGCGGGCGUAGCAAUACGUCAGCGGCAGACGGGUGAGUAACACGUGGGAACGUACCUCUUGGUUCGGAACAACACAGGGAAACUUGUGCUAAUACCGAAUAAGCCCUUACGGGGAAAGAUUUAUCGCCGAAAGAUCGGCCCGCGUCUGAUUAGCUUGUUGGUGAGGUAACGGCUCACCAAGGCGACGAUCAGUAGCUGGCUGAGAGGAUGAUCAGCCACACUGGGACUGAGACACGGCCCAGACUCCUACGGGAGGCAGCAGUGGGGAAUAUUGGACAAUGGGGCAACCCUGAUCCAGCCAUGCCGCGUGAGUGAUGAAGGCCCUAGGGUUGUAAAGCCCUUUUGUGCGGGAA